CUACGGGUGGCAGCAGUGGGGAAUAUUGGACAAUGGGGGCAACCCUGAUCCAGCCAUGCCGCGUGUGUGAAGAAGGCCUUUUGGUUGUAAAGCACUUUAAGCGAGGAGGAGGCUACUGGUACUAAUAUUACCAGCUAGUGGACGUUACUCGCAGAAUAAGCACCGGCUAACUCUGUGCCAGCAGCCGCGGUAAUACAGAGGGUGCGAGCGUUAAUCGGAAUUACUGGGCGUAAAGCGCGCGUAGGCGGUUUGUUAAGUCGGAUGUGAAAUCCCCGGGCUCAACCUGGGAAUUGCAUUCGAUACUGGCAAGCUAGAGUAGUGGAGAGGAAGGUAGAAUUCCAGGUGUAGCGGUGAAAUGCGUAGAGAUCUGGAGGAAUACCGAUGGCGAAGGCAGCCUUCUGGCCUAAUACUGACGCUGAGGUGCGAAAGCAUGGGGAGCAAACAGGAUUAGAUACCCGUGUAGUC
Molecule: ribosomal RNA, 465 nt
Filed under: uncultured bacterium
Lineage: Bacteria
Description: partial 16S ribosomal RNA
Rfam family: Bacterial small subunit ribosomal RNA
Source: RNAcentral